UUAGGGUUUUCGCCGCCACCGCCGUUGCCGUCGCCGUCGUCAACCUUCUUCUCUACUCUGCUCACCGAAACCCUAAGAAUGCAACCAGCGAAUUCCAUGGUUCCACAACCAAUGGCGGCUCCAUCGCAACAACAGUAUCAACAGCAGCCGCAGCAACAUUGGAUGGCUCAGCAGCAGCCGGCAGCGUAUCAGGUUCCGCAGCAGCAAUCGGCGUAUUAUUACCAGCAACAGCAACAACCUCAGUACAACGCCGCGGCAGCUGCUGCUCAACCGACCAGUUCCGAUGAGAUCCGGAGCUUGUGGAUCGGAGAUCUACAGUUUUGGAUGGAUGAACAGUAUAUCCAGAACUGCUUCGCUCACACUGGAGAGGUGGCCUCUGUUAAAGUUAUCCGCAACAAGCAAUCUGGACAAUCUGAGGGUUAUGGAUUUGUUGAGUUUAUUAGUCAUGCGGCUGCUGAAAGAAACCUACAAACAUAUAAUGGCUCCAUGAUGCCUAAUAGUGAGCAACCCUUUAGACUCAACUGGGCAUCACUCGGUUCGGGUGAAAAACGUUCAGAUAAUGGUCCUGAAUACACAAUUUUUGUUGGAGACUUGGCAGCUGAUGUCACUGACUAUAUGCUUCAGGAGACAUUCAGGGCCAACUACCCCUCAGUCAAGGGUGCAAAGGUUGUGACUGAUAGGGUCACUGGGCGCACAAAGGGCUAUGGGUUUGUUAAAUUUGCAGAUGAAAGUGAGCAAUUGCAUGCUAUGACUGAGAUGAAUGGCAAGUUCUGCUCCACUAGGCCAAUGCGGAUAGGCCCUGCAGCUAACAAGAAGAGUGUACCUGGUCAGGUGCAAGCUUCAUAUCAAAGUACCAAUGGAACUCAAAAUGAGGACGAUCCUUCUAAUACAACUAUAUUCGUUGGGAAUUUGGAUGCUAAUGUAACAGAUGACCAUCUAAGGCAGGUUUUUGGAAAUUAUGGACAGUUGCUUCAUGUGAAAAUACCAGUAGGCAAACGUUGUGGCUUUGUUCAAUUUGCUGACAGAAGUUGUGCUGAGGAAGCUCUACGAGCAUUAAGUGGAACUCAGCUGGGUGGACAAACUAUCCGCCUUUCAUGGGGUCGUAGCCCUUCCAACAAGCAGCAGCCUCAGGCUGACCCAAACCAAUACGGUGGUUAUUAUGGGUAUUCAGCUGGAUAUGAUGCUGCCGCUGCUGCUGCCUAUGGUUAUGCUCAACCUGCUCAGGAUCCAAAUCUAUAUUAUGGGGGUUACGCUGGGUAUGGAAAUUACCCUCCACAGCAGCAACAACCACAGUGAUCUCUGCUGGUUAAAGGAGUCGACGAAAGCUUCCUAGCACAGUAAUGCAACGAUGUAGAAAGGGAGGGGCAUGGAUUCGAAGUUUGCAUCAGAUUUAGUAUAAGAUAAACUACUGUAGGCUGGUUCUUGAAGAUCAGUAUUUAUGGUUGUGUUCAACCAUCGCUUACUUUUUCAUUAGUUACCUUCUGUUAUUUUUCAUUGGUUUUUUUGUUGAUCUUUUUGUUUUUUGCGCUUUUAUGUUUACUUUUCAUGAGUCCAACUUGGUACUUGGAUUUUUGUUCUAGUUGGUUUUUACAAGGCACAAAGAGGUUAUACAUAACGAGUAAACGUAUAUUGUAAUCUGCUAUAAUUUAUGUAUGGACAAACAAUGGUAUGGUAUUUUAUUUAAAAAUAGUUUUUC
RNAcentral lists this unclassified non-coding RNA (1696 nucleotides) under Hevea brasiliensis (rubber tree). The record is from RNAcentral. Lineage: Eukaryota; Viridiplantae; Streptophyta; Magnoliopsida; Malpighiales; Euphorbiaceae.